GCUGCUGCUGCUGCUGCUGCUGCUGCUGCUGCUGCGGUGGCGGUGUCUCGCCUGCCGGUAAGGGCCCUUUGCACGGGAGCCUGAACGAGUGCAGCUGGAGCAGCCAGCAACCGUCUUCAGCAUCAUCGUUCCCACUCAGGAGCAGAGUUCUAGGGCACCUCGGGAAUUCCUAAGCAUUCUAACUUACCC
This 189-nucleotide long non-coding RNA is filed under the name Phascolarctos cinereus (koala). Its description in RNAcentral is "lncRNA (ENSPCIG00000033628.1)". Lineage: Eukaryota; Metazoa; Chordata; Mammalia; Diprotodontia; Phascolarctidae. The record is from RNAcentral.